UAACUCUAACCCUAACCAACCCCAUUAUAUAUAGGAGCCUCCAUACACUCCUAAACACUUUCCAGACAUCUAAAACACUCUCAAAUCUUCUUAUUUCUCUCUAAUCUUCAAGACUUUGGCAGAAAGUUUCAAGCAUUCCAAGAAAUUGAUGAUUAUGAUGAUGAUGAUGAUGAACGGAAUCUAGUAAGAUGACUAGAAACCCAUUUUUAAUUUUAGUAUUGUUGUAAUUUGCUUCUUGUUUAAUUGUUGUAUUUGCUUCAAAACAAUGUACUUGCUUUAGAAAUGAAAUGAAAUUUCGAUUAUUAAA
Molecule: long non-coding RNA, 307 nt
Organism: Helianthus annuus (common sunflower)
Lineage: Eukaryota; Viridiplantae; Streptophyta; Magnoliopsida; Asterales; Asteraceae
Exons: 2
Source: RefSeq, a predicted model, not a curated record